AAAAAUCUAGACAUUUCUCCCAAAUUACAAAGUAAGAGAAAACCUGUAUGCUUCUUCAUUGCCGACGUCUGGACCACUGAUCGGCGCGCACCAUUGGCCAUCGUGCGAAGACGACAGCCCACCGAAACCCAACGUCGAAAUAGCAUUUGAAGACGGCAGUCGAAUCGUAGAUGCUAGGCAAAAGUAUAUUGUUAAUUACUGAUUUAUGCAUUUCUUUAUCAAAUUUAAGGUUAAUUUAUGGUUAAGCUGUCUUAGACUUGUUUACAUGAUUUGGGUGUUAUUUCCUCUUUAUUUAGACAUAUUUGAAGUAUGUUGGUUGUGGAGCCUGACUGUUGAUAAAGUUGAAGUAUUUGAUUUCUUGUUCUUCCUAAAUUACUGAGAUUUUUCAUAAAUUUCUGAGUCUGAUUGUUAAGUUCAUUUUUCAUAAAGAGGGGUAUUUUGUUUUAGGCAAAGGUAUUUUUCAUAAAUUUCUGGGCAAAGGUAUUUUGUUCAUUUUUCAAUAAAAGGGUAUUUUUCGUAUAGAGUAUGCUUAAGUGUGCCUACUUUUGUUAAGCUACCAGAAGAAUUAUGCUUAAGUGUGCCUACUUUCGUAUGCUAAGCAUGAAGGCAAUUCUAGUUUCGUUGAGGUUGAAUGCAGCCAUAUCCUCUGUGUGUUCGUAAAUGGCAUAAGAAUAGAAGCCGGAAGAACCACGAAGCAUUAUGAACAUGAAGCAUGUAUCAUAAUAUAAGCACCAAUUCUUCAUUAUCAAACACAACAAUGAAUAUCAAGAUUAUAAACAGCAGCAGUACUGCAAUGAUGCACCUUUUGUCUAUGGGGAAGGGAGCGUGUUAGCCCUCAAAUGAGGGAUCCUAUGUCCUUUUGAAUGAGACUUCUAUUUGUUCCUCAUUUUCCACUAUAACUUUGUUUGUAAUGUGCUGUUAUUUUUAAGUUUGAAUGUGGGAUUUCAAAACUCAAUUGCAUUCAUGUGAGAUUAUUUGUUUCGUCAGCAGUUGUUGAGUAGAAUGAGAGGAAUGAAUUUCGGAGUUUGUCAUGACUAUAAAAGUAACACUCACUACUUCGAAAAAUGCCAAACAAAACGUGGAUGCCCUUCAUAUAAAAGCGGAUUUCGAAAAUGUUUUGAGGUAGAACGGGAUACUAGAAACAAAGGGCGCUUGUUCUUUACGUGUAAUAACGACUGUGGAUAUUUCGAUUGGGUGAAAAAUGAAGAUAUAAGCAGGGAGUCGAGUACCAUUAAUGAAGAGGUGAAGCAUGAGCCCAAUGAGGUAUACAAAGACUUGCCAAGAGUCUUAGAUAGCUGUAAUACCCCGAACUUCACGUUCUACAUUUGGCCAAUAUGAUUCAUGCAUUCCAUGCUAAUUACAUUGUCAUUUGUAUCAAUUUCCUGAUUGCCUUCUCUUAAAACGAUGCAUUUGAUCAUCAAGGCUUUAAAAUCUUUACAUGGUGAUAACCUUCGACUCUUCGAUCUAGGUGGUGAAUUUUAUAUUGAGCUAUGAUAGAAAGUUAGAUUAACUAAAUGUUGGAGAUUGGCUUGGUAAGUAAUGUAAUAUUUGAAAGGCCGAAAAUUUGUAUCAACGAAGGUAAGCUUUCCAUUCGGCUAAUCGAGGUCACCUUAAACCCUAGAUAGGUAAUUCACAUAUUUGGGACAUGAGGGAUGAAGUGACAUUAUCACAACGUAAUAAUAUAUGUCUUAUAUGACAUUAUAAAUGUUGAGGUGCGAAUUGUUGAAAUCGGUUGAGAAUCGGGUAAGAGAUUAAAUGAACAGUUGAGGAAUUAAAUCUAUAAAAUACUUUGGGAUCCUAAUGCAAGUGAAAUAGAUUGUAAGCACAUCAAAAUAAACCAAUGACAUUUGAUUUAUACUUGCAAGGAUAGAUGUAAAAUCGGAAUUUAAUCAAAGGAGACAACACCUACUUAACAUGUGACGACUUGCCACUUUAACCUCUAAUUCCUUCAACCUUAAGCCUCCAACACGUCCUAUAAGUCCUUAGAACUUUACACAAGAUAUUUAUAACUCUUAUAAGUCACAUAUGGCUCCAUGUGGUGGAAGGGAGAAGUCAAAGUUGGCUGCAAGAAGCCACCUCCUACUUGGACAGCUCAUGCUAGGGGACUUUUCACUUUAAUAUAUAAUUGCUUUAACCUUAAGGCAUAAAUUUCGUGUCUAAUCCCCAAGGACUUAAUAUAGGAUGGAUAUAUAUCUUAAAUAUCAUAAAUGGACACAAAAAUAAUGGUAGAAAAGUCAAGUAUUGCAGCCAAGAUGACAGCUCCUGCUUAGCGACUCACCUUGAUUGCUUGAGGUGGCUUCAGCCCAUGAUAUUCUUAAUCCUUAAGUAAUAUGCACGACUUCAACCAUUUAAAGACCACUCAUUUACCUCCUAGAUAAUAUAUUAACUCCCUUAACUCGUCCCUAAGUGAUUCCAAGUGAAAAGAGGGUGAAACAGUCAAAGAGAAAUAGAAACAAGAAGCUGGAAUUUUUGAACAGCUUUGUUACUCCACAGUUUUGAGGUUUGUUUCUAUUAUUUCUUAAGGGGUUUAUGAUUUCUUGAACAUCUGAACUUUUUUGUGAUUAAGUUGGAGUGUUGUUAAUGAUGUUAUGAUGUCUAAAUAGGGGUAAUUAAUUGCAAGAAUUUGAAAGAAAGUAAUCUGGACAGAGAUGAGGAAUUGCUGGAUUGAGUGAUUUAUACCUUGAUUUUGGGAUGAUACUUAGUGUUUAACUUAUAUAUAUCAAUAUGAACGUUUUUAUAUGUAAUUAGGGAGUGUAGAAAUUAUUUUAAUGGCCUAGAAUUCUGUUGGUAUCAUAAUAAUAAAAUGGAAACCGAAAACAGUCAAAGGGAAAAACUGCCUGAUUUUGUGUAGUGGAAAAUGGACUGUUUUUGAAGCUCCAAACACUUCAUUUGUCACAACGUUAUGAUCUGAUUAUCUUCACAUAUAUGUUAUAGGUGUGUGGUAAAAGUUUGGGAGCCGUUAAAUGUAGGUAAGGACAUGAAAAAGAAUUUGAAAAAUGAGUGGACGGUGAUGGAAACCUAGAAAACAGAUUCUGUCCAUUUGGGUAUUUAAUGUGAUUUCAACAUUUAGAUGUCUCCUAAUGAACUCUUGGGCCUAGAAAAUAUAUCCUAAGGAAUACUAGGUUGCCGAAAACAAUUGGAUGACAUUGACGUUCAUAAUUGGACUUGAGAGAUAGCGAGACUUAUGAGAUUAGUUUGUAAUGCCAUCGGUAACUUGAAAUAAUGAUUUUGUCUAAAUUGUUUUGGCGUGAAUGGACGUAUUUUGGGAUUGUGUGUGUUAAGAUUAUUAAAUGGAGGAUUGUAUUUCAUAUUAGAUGAUAAUACAGGCGACUUUUCGACGUUGAGCGAAAAAGGGAAUUGAUACACACUCCAUAGGAGCUUACGCACAUAAAGGCGAAAGGUUAGUGAAAAUUCAUUUGCAACUACGAUGCAAGAACCUAGUAUAUGUGACAUAGUAAUGUUGAAAUAUUUACAUAACUUUGAUAAGAGGCUUAUAUCACAUCAUAUGGUGGUUAUGAUCAUUGAGUAUGAGGUUGCGUAACCUAUUAACACCGAUUUUUAUUAAAUAUGUCAUUUAUGAGUAUUUUCAUAUGCAUGCACGACAUGUAACAUGGUUGAAAAUCCUGCAUGCAAAAUAUGAUUUCAAAGUGAGUUUCAUUAUAAAUGUUUUAUUGACCACUACUAGGGCACCGAGGCAUGUGAGGCAUGCUUAUGUGAUAUGUUUGGCAUUGCGGUGUUACUUCUUGGGUGAUUGCAAAGAUAGAUAGGGGAUGAGCCUUUGGUGAUUACGGGAGGGCGGACCACUCGACUGUGCCCUUGUGAUAUUAUGAUUAUUGGCGCUGCCGGGUGGGAGACUUCUUGGGUGAUCAUAGGGGUAGUCAGGGGAUGGGCCUCUAGUGGUCACGAGAGGAUGGUCCACUUGUCGGUAUCGAUUUCAUACUAGCCAUUUGAUUAUUGAUAUUGAUAUUAUGCAGAGCUCUAUCCGGUGCAUAGUAGGUGGGUUAAGGGCCUAAUGAAAUGAAAGAUUUCAAGUGAAAUGAUUUCUAGUCGACUUUGACGAAUAUUGAAAUAUGAUACUUUUUAUCGUGAUAUUUAAAGUAAAUGGCGUGGUGUCAUAUGUCGUUAUUACUCAUGUUCAGGACAUGCAUGAUUUUGUUUACUAAGCAUUGGCUUAUGUAGUUCUUGUAUUGUAGGUGAACAUGGAACUACAUAGAGAGCAUGGCUAGCUGUGGAGCUCUUACAGGAUUCCAGAGUUCGAUGUACAUGGAUGAGGACCUGUAAGGUUAUUUUGUAGGCUGCCAUCUGUAGGGUUAUAUUUUGGAAUCCUAUAUAGUGUACUUUUGAAAUGGUUUGUAGACAUGUUUAUAAGCUCUGAAUAUAUAUGUUGGAUUAUGGCGAUAUGAUUUUGGGUUUCGAUAUAUUAUAUGAUCGUGUCACAGGUGAUUAGAAGUUAACAAACUCGAAAAAAAAAAUGUGAAAUUCUAUGUCUAGGUUGUGACAAUAGCCUAGCUCGAAUUAUCGAGAAACGAGAUGUCGACAUAACACUGCACGUUACAUUUUGCAAAGGAAAAGGAAUUGUAGAAAGUGAUGCGAAGAGAAAGGACCGAUGUGAAUGGAUGAUGUCAAUUUGUAUUUGCUAUGUGCUUUAUUUUUACUAUAAGAACUUAUUGGUCAUAGUAGUCUUCGAUAUUCAAUGCUUAAUUUUGUCAACGUCGUUCGAGCUUUGGACAUAAGUUUAAUAUUUUGCGAAUUGUUGUAUUGCUUAGUAGGCUUGUUUUAAUAUUUUUGCACAA
This 4793-nucleotide long non-coding RNA is filed under the name Olea europaea subsp. europaea. Lineage: Eukaryota; Viridiplantae; Streptophyta; Magnoliopsida; Lamiales; Oleaceae. The record is from RNAcentral.